Molecule: ribosomal RNA, 253 nt
Filed under: uncultured bacterium
Lineage: Bacteria
Description: partial 16S ribosomal RNA
Rfam family: Bacterial small subunit ribosomal RNA
Source: RNAcentral
UACGUAGGGUGCAAGCGUUAAUCGGAAUCACUGGGCUUAAAGCGUGUGUAGGCGGAUCGGUAAGUACCUUGUGAAAUCCCACAGCUUAACUGUGGAACUGCUUGGUAUACUGCCAGUCUUGAGCCAGCUAGGGGCUACCGGAACAAAUGGUGGAGCGGUGAAAUGCGUAGAUAUCAUUUGGAACGCCAAUGGUGAAAACAGGUAGCUGGGGCUGUGCUGACGCUGAGACACGAAAGCCAGGGGAGCGAACGGG